This 169-nucleotide ribosomal RNA is filed under the name uncultured Chloroflexota bacterium. Its description in RNAcentral is "uncultured Chloroflexi bacterium partial 16S ribosomal RNA". It matches the Rfam family "Bacterial small subunit ribosomal RNA", at positions 338 to 524 of the family's 1533-position model. Lineage: Bacteria; Bacillati; Chloroflexota. The record is from RNAcentral.
CCUACGGGAGGCAGCAGCAAGGAAUCUUCUACAAUGGGCACAAGCCCGAUAGAGCAACGCCGCGUGGAGGACGACGGCCUUCGGGUUGUAAACUCCUUUCGGGGGGGAUGAUGAUGACAGUACCCCCAGAAGCAGCCCCGGCUAACUCUGUGCCAGCAGCCGCGGUAAU